UAGUCCACGCCGUAAACGAUGGAUGCUAGAUGUUUGGAAGAUUACUUCUGGGUGUCAAAGCUAACGCGCUAAGCAUCCCGCCUGGGGAGUACGGUCGCAAGAUUAAAACUCAAAGGAAUUGACGGGGACCCGCACAAGCGGUGGAGCAUGUGGUUUAAUUCGAGGCAACGCGAAGAACCUUACCAACCCUUGACAUAUUAGUUUUAGUUUCCAGAGAUGGAUUCUUUCAGUUCGGCUGGGCUAUUACAGGUGCUGCAUGGCUGUCGUCAGCUCGUGUCGUGAGAUGUUGGGUUAAGUCCCGCAACGAGCGCAACCCCCGCUGUUAUUUGCCAACAGGUUUGGCUGGGAACUAUAGCAGGACUGCCGGUGUUAAACCGGAGGAAGGUGGGGAUGACGUCAAGUCUUCAUGGCCCUUAUGGGUUGGGCUACACACGUGCUACAAUGGGAGUGACAAUGGGCCGCAAAGUCGCGAGACUGAGCCAAUCCUAAAAAGCUUCCCCAGUU
This 504-nucleotide ribosomal RNA is filed under the name uncultured bacterium. RNAcentral describes it as "bacterial SSU rRNA". It matches the Rfam family "Bacterial small subunit ribosomal RNA", at positions 791 to 1293 of the family's 1533-position model. The record is from RNAcentral.